This 403-nucleotide ribosomal RNA is filed under the name uncultured bacterium. RNAcentral describes it as "partial 16S ribosomal RNA". It matches the Rfam family "Bacterial small subunit ribosomal RNA", at positions 30 to 526 of the family's 1533-position model. The record is from RNAcentral.
AUUGAACGCUGGCGGCAGGCCUAACACAUGCAAGUCGAACGAGCGGCGGACGGGUGAGUAAUGUAUGGGGACUGCCCGAUAGAGGGGGAUAACUACUGGAAACGGUAGCUAAUACCGCAUAGUAUCGGAUAACCCAUAUGGGAUUAGCUAGUAGGUGAGGUAAUGGCUCAACUAGGCGACGAUGCCUAGCUGGUCUGCGAGGAUGAUCAGCCAAACUGGGACUGAGAGACGGACCCAACUCCUAGGGAGGAAGCGGGGGAGAAUAGUGCACAAUUGGCGCAAGCGUGAUGCAGCCAUGCAGCGAGUAUGAAGAAGGCCCUAGGGUUGUAAAGUACUUUCAGUCUGGAGGCGUUACCGACAGAAGAAGCACCGGCUAACUCCGUGCCAGCAGCCGCGGUAAUAC